AUACGUAGGUGGCAAGCGUUGUCCGGAAUGACUGGGCGUAAAGGGUACGUAGGUGGCUAUUCAAGUUAGCUGUGAAAUCCCGGGGCUUAACUUCGGUGCUACAAUUAAGACUGUUUAGCUUGAGUGCAGGAGGGGUAAGUGGAAUUCCUAGUGUAGCGGUGGAAUGCGUAGAUAUUAGGAAGAACACCGGUGGCGAAGGCGACGUACGGGACGUUAACUGACACUGAAGUACAAAAGCAUGGGGAGCAAACAGGAUUAGAUACCCGUGUAGUCCACGCCGUAAACGAUGAAUACUAGUUGUGGGAGGUAUCGACUCCUUCCGUGACGACGGUAACACAUUAAGUAUUCCGCCUGGGGAGUACGGCCGCAAGGUUGAAACUCAAAUUAAUUGACGGGG
This 397-nucleotide ribosomal RNA is filed under the name uncultured bacterium. RNAcentral's name for it is "partial 16S ribosomal RNA". It matches the Rfam family "Bacterial small subunit ribosomal RNA", at positions 523 to 918 of the family's 1533-position model. The record is from RNAcentral.